CUGGCAGGGAGGUAGCAGUUCUCCAAUGUCUGCAGUGAAGGCAACCUAUGUUUUAAAAUAAUGGAACACUGCUGGAUUGGUGGUGCAGUGGCUUUGUGAUCAUCACAAAGGCCAGCCAAUCAACACCUUGCACAGCAGGCUUUUGCUGGAAAUAGAACAGGUUGCUCCCGAGCUUUAUUCUUUGAUCUAUGGCCAAGAAAGGACAAGUGUAGAUCUGCAGCAGGCUCCCUGUCAAGAAGCAUACAUCUAUAGGGUUUUAAAAAACCUGAUGGAGAAGGGUUUUUCAAAGAGCCCUCAAGACAUUUAUUUCAUCAAGGCUUUGAUCAGCUUUCAACCCUAUUUAAAGUGAGCAACAAAGCCCCGCCUCCUAUAAUGAAACAGACCAGACUGUCUCACCCAAGGUUAUAUUUUAGAGCAAAAGGGUUACAUAGGGCAGCCUUAAACAAUACAGCAUCCUUCAGAACUUGACUCAUUCCUGUAUGAAGUGUGGACUAGACACACCCAAGAGCAAACAGAGCAGAAUUUACACCCCAAAGAAUGAUUUUGUGUGCAGAGGUGCCUGACCUGGCCCGUUAGGCUGCCUGGGCCUAGAGUUUUGUCAUGACAGCCAGUGGGAGGAACAGCAGGGAGCUUCAUGCUACAGAGCAGCAAGGAAGAGCCAGGCAAAGCCCUACAGAUUCAAGCUGCAGAGAGAGAGGCGGGAAAGGAGUCAAGUGAGUAUGGAAAACAGAUCCUUUUAUGACACACCGACACCAACAGAGGACUUAGGAGAGAAGUGGGUUUUCUGUCAUUUGAACCGGGAGAUGGAGAUGUCCAUCUAGGUGAGGAGAACGAAGGACAACUUGGCUCCUACUAUCAGUCCUACCAAGACUCAGAAGACAAGAUUUCCAGCCGCCUCACCAGCACCACUGCCCAGAAGUAAACACAGAAGGGUUCCUGUUCCAUUAGGUUGAAAGGCCACAGAUCUCUUCAGGCAGCCUAGAAUCUCUCCCUCAAGAAAAGGGCUUCUGCAAAUGAAAGGCUUUGUCCAAGGUGGCUGACUAGAGCUGCUCCUGUCCUGCUGGGGGCACAGCCCGGCAGAGCUCAGCGCUGUGAUAAUCUUGCUGCUUCAUCACCUCUCUCGCAUCACAGAGAAGCACACAGGAGGGUUGGAGACCACAGCAGCACACAAGCUGGGUGUUUUCACAGGCAAGGCUUAAAUAAGCUUCUCUCUAUUGACAAACGCAAAGCCUGCACUGGUGAGGAUGUACAUUUGAUUUUCUUUCACAUUCCAUCCUGCAUUAGCAACAUUCACACAUAGCAUAAGUAGUGCUUGAGAAGGGGAGGAGAGGGCAAUCCCCAUCUGUCUUAAGGGGCCACGUUUAUUAUAAGCCACCUUCUAACUCAAAACAGAUUUUGAAAUAUGGUGCAGAAAGGUAUUUAGAAGGGUGGGGCUGUCUUUGUCAGAUGUGUGAAGAGGACUGAGAAAGUGGUGGGGUUUUAUAUACAUGAGUUGAAGUACACACAGAGAGAUAAGAUAAGAGGGAUGCAAAAGGCUAGGAGUGGGAGUGUUAACCACAAGAGACAAAACAUAAUCUAAAUGAUAUCUACUGGAGCAUCUACUGCACAAAUUCAACACAAUUGCUACAGCCUCAACCAACAUCCCUUUGCUUUCAGGGAGCCACUCAUUUCCCCUUUAAAAACCAAGAGGCAUGCUGCCAGAUGCGUUCACAAACUAUCACUACACAAAUUUUAAAAAAUCAUAAUUAGGUUUUAAAAAUAAAUAAUAAAAAAGAAAAUGACCUGCUCUGCUAAGUUUCAGGAGAAAUAUAUUUUCCGGCUAGAAAGACAGGAAGCCUCUCUAAGUAUCCUUGUUGCUGGAAACUUGGUGCAUGGGUGGGAUACCACCGCUGGCUGAUCCCAGAAAAUGCAAGAGCAGAUUUCAGCAAAGACUCCAGCUAGCACAACGCAAUGCAGAUCUUGGCACGGAUGGCACGGCUUCAUCUCUCAGCCUCAUUUAAAAAAAAAAAGAAAUAAGUGAUGCAAGUUUCCAGCUUUUCUUGAUCCAGCUCUCCCUAUGUUAACAGUGUCUGCUGCUGAAGCUCACAGACUGACUUCCAGCAUUCAGAGGACAACCAACAUAUAUUAUGCAACACAGACAAUUUAGUGUAUGUCUGUAUGAUUAUGCAAAAUCAUUUUGAACAACAUCCUGCAUGCUCCACGCACAUGAAGUUGCCUUAUACUGUGUCAGGCUAUCAGUCCACCAAGCCUCAUAUUGGGAGUGGCUGUCAGAGGCACCCGACAGAGCUCUCCCUGAAAAGCAUGCACUCUUCCACUGAGUUAUGGCUGCUCCUCCUCUACAUAUUUUGAGCUCAUGAACCUCUAUUGGAAACAAGCAUUGAAGUGACCUGCUGCACCCACUGAAGAAGAUCAGUAAUGCAGCAACAUGGACAGAAGAAAGGAAGCAGUUCCCUCAGGGAUCUCAACUCCAGAAUAAGCCACCAGUCCUGUUGCAUCCUAGGCUUUGCAUAUUCAUCCCAGCACCACCAUUCAUACUUACUAGGGAUGUGCAAAAAAUUUCGGGCACAGAUCAAUCUGUGUCCGAAACGAGCAAUUUCGGGUGAUUCAGGACCGAACCAAAUCACGCCCAAUGUCCCCCGAUAUUUUUCGGGGCCGAGCCAAAUCACCCCUGAUUCGUGCCUGAAAAAUUCGGGUGAUUCGGGAUGACGUCUCUGAAUUUCCUGCCUUUUUGCCUCCAUUGAUUUGAAUGCAAAAAGGUCUGAUGUGAUGUCAGCUCGAAUUUUGGGUCCCAGAGCAAAAUAGUGGGGUGGGGUGGUAGUGCCUAAUGGAUGGAGGCUACCACCCAAAUUUCAGGGGAAUUGGGCAAAGGGCUGAUUUUUGGGGAAUUUUUGAAGUUUUAGUGUCUUUGGGGCAGUUCGGGGGCAUAGCGUGGGAUCUGGGCAAAAAGAGUGGGGUGGGGUGGUAGUGCCUAAUGGGUGGAGGCUACCACCCCAAUUUCAGAGUUAUUGGGCAGAGGGAUGAUUUUGGGGGAAUUGUUGAAGUUUACGCAUCUUUAAGGUUUUUCCCCAUAGAGAAGCAUUGAGGUGUCAGCAAAUGUAUAGCUUCACGUGGGGGGCAAAGGGGUGGCCUAGAGCAGUGUGGGGUUAGUGGUAGUGCCAGGUAGGGUCAAGGAAGCUACCUGAAUUUUUUCAAAGGAUUUGGGCAGAGGGAAUUGUUAAAGUUUACGCGUCUUUAAGGUUUUUCCUCAUAGGGUAUACAUGGAGCUUUCAGCAGCCCCAUAACUGCACUUGGGGGGUGCUGGGGUGGCCCGGAGCGAGUGGUAGUGUAGUGCACAUAGGGUGCCAACCACCCCCAUGGGUUUCUAACCCAUGGGGUUCAGGGUUCUGAACAACAGAACCCUGUCGGUUCGGGUCCCGAACCGAAUCACCGAAAACCCGAAUUGCACACCCCUAAUACUU
Hemicordylus capensis (graceful crag lizard) is the source of this 3458-nucleotide long non-coding RNA. RefSeq lists it as uncharacterized. Lineage: Eukaryota; Metazoa; Chordata; Lepidosauria; Squamata; Cordylidae. The record is from RefSeq and is a predicted model, not a curated record. The transcript is spliced from 7 exons.